Molecule: ribosomal RNA, 254 nt
Filed under: uncultured bacterium
Lineage: Bacteria
Description: partial 16S ribosomal RNA
Rfam family: Bacterial small subunit ribosomal RNA
Source: RNAcentral
CACGUAGGGGGCAAGCGUUGUCCGGAUUUAUUGGGCGUAAAGAGCUCGUAGGUGGUUCGGUAAGUCGGGUGUGAAACCUCCAGGCUCAACCUGGAGACGCCACCUGAUACUGCUGUGACUGGAGUCCGGUAGGGGAGCGUGGAAUUCCUGGUGUAGCGGUGAAAUGCGCAGAUAUCAGGAGGAACACCAGCGGCGAAGGCGGCGCUCUGGGCCGGUACUGACACUGAGGAGCGAAAGCGUGGGGAGCGAUCCGG